This is a long non-coding RNA of Canis lupus familiaris (dog), 1693 nucleotides long. RefSeq lists it as uncharacterized. The record is from RefSeq and is a predicted model, not a curated record. NCBI's taxonomy places the organism in Eukaryota, Metazoa, Chordata, Mammalia, Carnivora, Canidae. The transcript has 3 exons.
AAGUCUUUAAGCAUGGAAAGCUGCCAAAAGAUAGCUUCCAGAAUUGUCAUUUUCGCUUAAAAUCAUAGAUAUUAUCAUGAGUAGGAAGUACUGUUCAUUCUCCAUAAUGCAGUAGGUUCCCUUGGUUCUUUGCUGAGAAUAUGCCUGCAGGGGACCGGGCCCACAUCUCCUGCUCUGUGACCUUCGCACCUCAGCGGCAGCAGAGGGAUUCUGCACACUUCCCAUGUCCUCACUCAGAACACUCCAGGGACCAGGACACAGCGUUGAGAUUUAAUACAACUCAGGACAUUCUCAGGCUACACCUGCUUCUCCGACGCUUGCAUCCCAAGGUGACCGGACAGAUUUCAGGCUCCUGUGGCUCCAGGACCAUCUUCCUUACCGACUCUCGUUGCUGAGAAGUGGAAGCCAAGGCCUUAUAGUGGGUUUGACUCCACUGGAACCAAAGCACCUCACCUGGGGACCAGACCAGGAGCCCCAAUUGCCAGCGAGUGGCACAGACACCCCCUCCCUCAGGGGUGGGAAGCCACUGUGGAUGCCCUAGCCUGUUCCCGCCGUCCUGGAGCCCCCCUGAGCCUUGGCAGGACUGUCCCUGGAAUGUCAUGCCAUCUGCAAGUGACAGAGGCCUGGAAACUUCUGUUCCAUUGAACUCUGCCAGGGAGCUAUACUUAGCCACCGAGUGCAGGCCAGGAGUGGGCUCUCUGAAUAUAGAUAGUAACAAGUGGGCUAUUUUCAAACUCCCAGAGAACCCCCUGGAAUAUUCCGAGUCAAAAUGAUGUUUAUGGAAUCUUCCAGGCUUUUGGAAGCGAAGGCAUAACCUUAGUGUGUCGGCAGCAUCAGCAGUGAGGUUUCUUUGAACGGGGGGUGCGGCAAGCAACGGGACCACCAAGAGACCGGGUGUCCCUCUUGCACCUGUUUCCAGGACCUGAGCUCGUGGGGGCUGGGCGCUAGCAUCUGAGUCAGAGAACAGUGGUUCUCCUGGUUGAGUGUUUGGUGCUGACCCUGCCUGUGGCCUUCAGGCCAUCACCCAGGGCACCUCUCAUGCUGAAAUGUGGGGUCCCCAGCCUUGGAAAUCUUGUUAUGCUUUCCCUCUUGUCCAGAAUCCUUGCUGAUCUCUUAGGCCUUCGCUUCAGCUACAGGUCACCAGGCCACUCCUAGCUCCGGGACCUCUGGUCCCUUCCUUGCUUGCUCCUGCCUUGGAAUGGGGUGACCGCAAGGCCUUCUUUAGGGUGAAGAGGGGAAAUGUGAUCAGUAAAAUUUGGAUAGGAAAAAGAAAGCCUAUAGGUGGAGGGACCCAAGUAGCAGCCACUGGAGAAAAGAUCCAGUCAUGCCCGCUUCACUCAGGACAGAAAUGCAUGAAGCUUUGACCUCCUUCCUGAUUCCUGUUCUGUAGGUGCAGGGAGAAGGUUUCAGAGAGCCAACUUGUAAAUGGCUGUCCCCAGUGAAUUCUGACGACAAGGCAACAUAACCAGGAAAGGCGAGGGGUGGUAGGGGGCAAGACCUGCGCAGCCAGGGCACUGUGGCCUCCCACUGGUCUGACUACAGCCCUCAUGCUGCUGGUGGACCAUCUCCCCCAUUCAUCUUCCGCUGGUUCCUGGGCAGGUGCUCGGGCCUCUCUUCACCCCCUGUGCCAAGCCAGCCUCCACCACCCUGCCCUCUGCCAGUCCAGAUAUAAAUAUAAGAGCAUUUUCCAUGG